UACGUAGGGGGCAAGCGUUGUCCGGAUUUAUUGGGCGUAAAGAGCGUGUAGGCGGCCAGGGAGGUCCGUUGUGAAAACUCGAGGCUCAACCUCGAGACGCCGAUGGAAACCCCCUGGCUAGAGUCCGGAAGAGGAGAAUGGAAUUCCUGGUGUAGCGGUGAAAUGCGCAGAUAUCAGGAGGAACGCCGAUGGCGAAGGCAGGUCUCUGGGCAUUAACUGACGCUGAGGAGCGAAAGCAUGGGGAGCGAACAGG
RNAcentral lists this ribosomal RNA (253 nucleotides) under uncultured bacterium. Its description in RNAcentral is "partial 16S ribosomal RNA". It matches the Rfam family "Bacterial small subunit ribosomal RNA", at positions 524 to 776 of the family's 1533-position model. The record is from RNAcentral.